RNAcentral lists this ribosomal RNA (427 nucleotides) under uncultured bacterium. RNAcentral's name for it is "bacterial SSU rRNA". It matches the Rfam family "Bacterial small subunit ribosomal RNA", at positions 355 to 774 of the family's 1533-position model. The record is from RNAcentral.
UGGGGAAUAUUGGACAAUGGGCGAAAGCCUGAUCCAGCCAUGCCGCGUGUGUGAAGAAGGUCUUCGGAUUGUAAAGCACUUUAAGUUGGGAGGAAGGGCUGCAAGCUAAUACCUUGUAGUUUUGACGUUACCAACAGAAUAAGCACCGGCUAACUUCGUGCCAGCAGCCGCGGUAAUACGAAGGGUGCAAGCGUUAAUCGGAAUUACUGGGCGUAAAGCGCGCGUAGGUGGUUUGGUAAGAUGGAUGUGAAAUCCCCGGGCUCAACCUGGGAACUGCAUCCAUAACUGCCUGACUAGAGUACGGUAGAGGGUGGUGGAAUUUCCUGUGUAGCGGUGAAAUGCGUAGAUAUAGGAAGGAACACCAGUGGCGAAGGCGACCACCUGGACUGAUACUGACACUGAGGUGCGAAAGCGUGGGGAGCAAACA